This 2124-nucleotide ribosomal RNA is filed under the name Triticum aestivum (bread wheat). Its description in RNAcentral is "partial small subunit ribosomal RNA". Lineage: Eukaryota; Viridiplantae; Streptophyta; Magnoliopsida; Poales; Poaceae. The record is from RNAcentral.
AUGGCCGUGCCGCCGCCCGCCGACGAGAGGCCGCUUGUGAUGCUAGCGCAGCCACUCUUCCCGGAGUUCGCCACGGCUCUCGCCGGCCGUUACCGGUUCGCGCUGCUAGCGGACGCCGACGCGGCGGCCGCGGCCGAGGCGAGGGCGCUGCUGGUAGGGGGGCUCCCGUCGGUCACGGCCCAGCACCUGGACGCGCUCCCGGCGCUCGAGCUCGUGGCGUGCACCUCCGUGGGCGUCGACCACGUGGACCUUGACGCGUGCCGGAGCCGCGGGCUCAGCAUGACCAACGCCGGCGCCGCGUUCGCGGCCGACUCGGCCGACUACGCCGUCGGGCUUCUUGUUGCCGUGCUCCGGAGGGUGGCCGCCGCCGACGCAUACGUCCGCAGCGGCAGGUGGACGGCCGACGGCGACUACCCUCUCACCACCAAGGUGAGCGGCAAGCGGGUGGGGAUCGUGGGGCUGGGCAACAUCGGCUCGCGCGUCGCCCGGCGUCUCGCCGCCUUCGGCUGCGCCGUCUCCUACCACUCGAGGUCGCCCAAGCCGUCGGCGCCGUACCCGUUCGUCCCGGCGCUGCGCGACCUCGCCGCCGGCAGCGACGUGCUGGUGCUCUCCUGCGCACUGACGGACGAGACCAAGCACAUGGUGAACCGGGAGGUGAUGGAGGCGCUGGGGAAGGGCGGGGUGCUGGUCAACGUGGGCCGGGGCGGCCUGGUGGACGAGCCGGAGCUGGUCAGGUGCCUCCGCGAGGGCGUCAUCGGCGGCGCCGGCCUGGACGUGUACAAGAACGAGCCGGCCGUGCCGCUGGAGCUGCUCGCCAUGGACAACGUCGUGCUGUCGGACCACAGGGCCGUGCUCACGCCGGAGUCCAUUGGCGGGGUGCUCGAGGUCGUCAUCGCCAACCUCGACGCCUUCUUCUCGGGGAGGCCGCUGGACCCGUCAUCCCUGUGCUACUACACCAUGACCACCUGCCUCCCCCACUUGAAGAGCCUGCUCCACGACCUCAACGCCGCGGUCGGGGCGCCGCCGGUGAGCUGCGUCGUGGGCGACGGCGUCAUGAGCUUCUGCGUGGACGCGGCCGCGGAUCUCGGGGUGCCGUGCGCGCUGUUCUGGACUGCCAGCGCCUGCGGCUUCAUGGGCUACCGCAACUUCCGGUUCCUCCUAGAUGAGGGCCUCACCCCUCUCAAAGACGAUGAGCAAGUGAGGAACGAGUACUUGGACACACCGAUGACGCAGGCACGCGGGAUGAGCAAGCACAUGCGCCUUCGAGACUUCUCGUCCUUCGUCCGCACGAUGGACCGCAGCGACAUCCUGUUCAACUUCCUGCUGCACGAGGUCGAGCAGUCGGACCGCGCGACUGCCGUCAUCCUCAACACCUUUGAGGAGCUGGAGCAGACGGCGCUCGACGCCAUGCGCGCCAUCCUCCCCUUGCCCGUCUACACCAUCGGCCCGCUUAACUUCCUCACCGAGCAGCUGGUCUCGGAAGGCGAUCUCGCCGGGAUACGCUCCAGCCUCUGGAGAGAAGACCAGUCCUGCCUCGAGUGGCUUCAGGGCAGGGAGCCCCGGUCCGUGGUGUACGUCAACUACGGGAGCGUGACCACCAUGUCCAAGCAGGAGCUGGUGGAGUUCGCGUGGGGGCUGGCCAACUGCGGCUGCGACUUCCUCUGGAUCGUGAGGAACGACCUGGUGAAGGGCGAUGCCGCCGUGCUGCCUCCCGAGUUCCUCGAGGCCACCAAGGGUAGGUGCCUCCUAGCGAGCUGGUGCGAGCAGGAGGCGGUGAUGCGUCACGAGGCGGUGGGCGCCUUCCUGACGCACUGCGGGUGGAACUCGAUGAUGGAGGGGCUCGGCGCCGGGGUGCCGAUGCUUUGUUGGCCCUUCUUCGCCGAGCAGCAGACCAACAGCCGGUACGCUUGCGUGGAAUGGCGCGUCGGGAUGGAGGUCGGCGACGACGUGCGCCGGGAGGUGGUCGAGGCGAGGAUAAGGGAGGUGAUGGGUGAUGGCGAGGUGGGGAAGGAGAUGAGACGGAGGGCGAUGGAGUGGAAGGAGGUCACUUCUCGCUCAACCGUGCAACCCGGUGGCAGGUCGUUGGCCAACCUUGAGACUCUGCUCAAGGAUGUACUGAAGUGA